GACAAGAAACACAAGACAACAGCUAGCUGGACACAAAAUGAGUGACUUAAAAGUAUUAUUUACCAUCAUUAUGUUCACUUUCAAUGACUUGUAUGAUCAUGGUAGCCUGCAUGAGAAAAGUUUCAAACUUAGCUCGCUUUUAGCUUACCGGUCAGUAAUCGACAUCGUAUACAGUAGACAAUAAUUACAUUGUGAGAAAUAGUACCUUUAUGAUUAGUAGCAGUUUCCAGGCCUUGAGAACGAUCAUAAGAACUGACGUUGGUUUACGUCUGCAACAUUACUGUACUAGUAAUACACAAGCACAUUAUAUGUUCGAACACUGACAUUAAUAUGUUUUUCUUGUGCCAGGAGAAUUACAUACUCCAACGAGUCGUUUUCAACACGUUAAUGGGUGCCUGUAUAGUGAGCAACUUAGUCAAUUAUGUAUUUAACCAUUUAACCCUUUAACCGUCGGAUUUACAUUUAGGAAUAGCACCAUUUUUAUAAGUUCCAACUUGUUUUGCACAAGAUUCUAAACAAUUACCCAUUGCAUGAGAUUGGAAAGAAUCGAGAUCCUCCUCCUCUAACGAAGAAUCCAUGUUAUGAAGAGCAUGCUAUGAAGAGCUGCCACGUUUGUAGAAGUGAAAUUCUCUAUCGGGUUUCCAGAGCAAUAGAAUGCCCAUACAACAAGGAGUGUUGCCAUAGCAACCACGGUUAUUGCGCCCACCCGUUUUUAUCAUUUUAAAUGCCCAGCCAGCGGUGAGAUAAAAUCCAAAAAAAUUUUUUCAUGGAUCAGCCUAUCAUAUGGCUUGACUAAGCUUGAUUUUCAAUGUAACAGUGCUAAGAUAUAUCUUGACAUCAGAGAGAAGGUGGGGCUCGAGAAGGUGGGGCUCGGUGAACGAUCUAUGAAAUUUACAAGCUCACAUAAAGACUGUUCAUUACUGCUAAUUCUAUUUUAGCUAUACUAUACUUACACUCUCCUGGUCUUUCACCGUCCUGGUCCAUAGCUAGCGUCUAGGUCCAUGUCAUGCAUGUCAUCAGUCCCAGACAGUUCAUCAGCGUCUGCUGGUAGCCUUUGGUAGCCUUUGGGAGGUAUCCUACUAUCCCCUCUCCUUCAUAGGCACUGUCAUCACCAGAGGAGACUUGCUGUCCUCAAGCUGUUCAAGCACAUCGGCACAAGUAAAAAAUCUAGCCAUAGCAAGAUGCUAAUAAAAUUUUAACAUAGCAACGUGGCUUGGACUAAAUUGCUAAAUUGCACGUGAUCUUCCUCGUUCGAGCUAUUUCUAAGUAUCGCAGAAUUGCGGGCCACGAUCGUGGCCCGUGGCGGUUAAAGGUUAAUAUGUGUAAACAUUACCUGUAAUGUCCACUGUCAUGAUACAUCACUGUCGAUUCCACCCAGUACUUGUCAUUGAUUGAUCACAUUUAGAUAUUUAAACAGACAAAAGAACCCAUUUCACAUUAGUACUCAAUUAUAGUACUCAAUAAUUGACACAAACGAUGCAACCACGGCUAAAUUAAUAUUGACAUACAUGGAUGGGUCACCUGACGACAUCUUGACAGGCUGUUGCCGAAGAAUGAAACAUCCUGACAGAAAUAAGGACCCAAUACAUUUACACAAUACACUUACACACACACUGCUAAAUUAAUAUUCACAAACAGUAUAUACAUCUACUUUUUUUCAGAUGUUCCACAUCUAAUGAAAACAACCAGAAAUUGCUGGUCCCACUUUUUGGUCAUGGCUGCACUAGAAAGCUUUGGAUCAAUGGGAAGCACAUCAGCUGGACCCAUCUCCGCUCCCUGUACCAACAUAAACUUAUGCUUGCUGAAAGAUCACAAGGGCUUUUUCUUUUGAAAAAGCUCUCCCGAGAACAUGUCAAUUUGACAUCGUACUCUAGAAUGCGAGUGAACCUUGCAGCAGAAGUUAGUGAGUCCGUUGCAGUAGGAUUCAGUUUCUAUGACAGCAUUGACACAACAGAGACACUGAGAUUUGUUCGAAUGUUUGACAAAUUCUUCGACUGUCUCAACGUACGCAUCCCAAUGACUAUCAGCGGAGGAAGAAGCCAAACUUGAAGCCGUACACAAGCCCAGCUGAUGAGCGACUAAGUUGGCUCGAAAACGACUUUCUUGGCUAUCUGAAAGAAUGGGAGAUCAGUGUGAAUGGACAUGAAGAUGUUACACCCGCUCAAAGAGCUACCAUGUUGCUGAGUAAAGCAACCAGAGAGGGUCUGCAUAUCACUGUGAAAUCAUUCGUUGAGCUGACACGAUACCUUCUAGGAUUGUCGUCAGCCCAUAUCUACUCAGUGAGCAUUUCUCACAAGACCCACUCGAAAACUACAGCAACGUUCGAGGGGAGGUCGAAACCAAAACCCCACUGUUCGACCUCUGCUCAAUCUCUUCAGGUACAAGGUAGCAUGGCAAUGGUACCACUUAGAGGAAACUCACGCCGUAAGAAACGAUUGUUUCCUGAAGAGGUUGUUGAAGAUACCCCACUUAAAAGAGGCCAAGGAAUAAUUAAGAUUGUGAUAUUUUCUGUUGUUCAUGCAUGUAUACCAUCCAAUACUACACUUUUUAUUAACAUUGAUGAAUAUCAAAAUCUGUUUUCAUCGUGCAUGCAUUGAAGGACAUGUAUAGAAUUACUGAGUCUUGUCAGAUUGCUUGUCGAGAGUCUUUCUCAAACUUUUGCUCUUCAUGACAGCAAAUUUUUAUAUUGCUCCAGCCAGAAAGAUGUCACAGCAAAGCCUCUAAUAGUUACCCAGAGACUAACUAUUUCAUGGAGUAAAUCGUCAGCUUCACUCUCCUUCUUGAUAUCAAUAGCAAGCAUACUCCACCAAAACUGAACAUCAUCAUCUUCCAAGACAUCCUUCAAUAGUUUUCCCUUGCUUGGUGUAGGUGGCAGUAAUGCCUGCGUUUGUAUCUCGAUUGCUUUAAACAAAUUGAACGUGGUGUCACUAACAUGAAACAAUCCUCCCCUAUCAAUGUUUGUCAUCCACUCCAAUGUAUAAAGAUAGUAAGAACUUACAUCUCCAGAGCUGGCCAUACUACCUAAGCAUUCAACAAAGUGGGCAGCAGUUUCUGUUGACAUCUUUUGGAAUUUUUUCAUCAAUUUCAAUUUCAUGGCACUGGCAUAUCGAACAGCGUUGUCUUCCUCGGUCGACAGUUGAACACUCUUUGCUGCCACUGGAGUCGGUUUCGAUAACUUAGCAAUAUCAAGUAUUAUUGUUUCAAAAAGAUGCCAGUUAACCGAUUGGGAAUCAAUGGUGGUAGUUCAAUCCUUUGUGACAGUGACUUCCACACAGAAGGCAGUUUCUUAAUUCUUAACUGAGAUAAAGAACGCUAGCUUGAAUUUCCCUUGAGGAAUACACUGUAUGGGUGAGCGAAUUGCUUGGACUAAACUCGCCGAGAAAUCUUUGAGAGUAUCUGUAGUUGCACUACUCAUUGUUGAGAAAAGGUCCCCAGUCGUUUUCAGGGAGCAAUCUACUUCUUCUUCAGCAUGCAAUACAGCCUUAAUAGAAAAUACUACUUGAAAGUCAUCAUCAUUGGAACUAGCCAUUUCUAUGCGUUUAUCUGUCUUAUCUGUCUUUGUUUGCCUUAGUGGUUUCCAUGUGAACUACACUAAAUUACGGUACACAAGGGGUUAAGUAUGCCUAUAGAAUAGGAUUUCUACUGUGUUUCCAAUCUUUCUUCUAUCUAUGAUCACACGAGUGACAUGACUGUAUUAUUUAACAUAAUUAUAAAAAAUGCACACAAUACACUCUGGUAAUGUUUCACAGGCAUGUUAUCAGCGUAAUGGCCAGUGCCUGAUAGGGAUUAAAUCUUGGUGCAAUAGUAUUCUAUUUGGGGCACGGUUCAAAGUACAAAUAUGCAUGCCAGAUCUGUCAUUAAUUGUGACCUUUUCGACCUUUUCGGACCUCGAAGGGAUCGACUAACAUAUACAGAUUGUGGAAAUUUAACUCACGUGCCUUAGCCUUAAUUGAGUGAGUGGGGGAGCAAAAAAAGACAGUAAAACAGAAGCCAGCCUACAGGAUUCGUAUAUUUUAAAUUUUGUUGGACUCCAGCAUACACACAAUUCUUUAAAUUGUAUGUGAAUUAUGCAAGUAAUACUACACUACAGAUCUAAGAUCCCACUCACUUCUUUUCUGAGGGUCUAGCAAGCUUUGAAUGUGUGUUGUUCAGCUGAGGCACGGAGUCAAAUUUCCACAAUUCAACUUUUGCAAAAACUCGGGUAAGUGCAAAACAUGGACUGGAUUGGACUGGACUGGACUUUGGACUGUGGGCAAUGUAGCUAGCUAGCUAGCCUGUUGCUGUACGUUACAAAUCAUGCAAAGACAACUGUCGACAAAUCAACAAGCAGUAAGCAAGCCUACCAUCUCACCGCCUUCCUAGGUAAAUAUUACUCUACCCCCAAUUCAUAAUUUUACUCCUGGGCAGUUUUCACCACACAGAAUCUUGUACGAGCACACGUACGUACACACUACUAGCACCGAGAAUAUGCCAGCAAGGAGCACCCACCAGUAUCGUAUACCAGCCUGUAACACCUACAAUCCAUUCUUAGUACAGUGUGCAGAAGGCCUCCACAUGCAAUAGUGCGGUUGAAAGAAGGCCCAGCAAACCUAAAUAAAAGCAGCACACUACUGCUAUAAUUAUAUCUUCUAUCACAGCAGGGUGUCAACAAUUCACCUUGGCAAGUUUAGUUGUUUCACCUGACGUUAAGAACAUUAACCCUUUCCCGGCUUUGGAUGACAUAUGUCGUCCUUGCUACCGAGAUUUUUCAAAAUUUCGAGCUAUGCGCACGCUGCUCUUUCACGUGGUAUUUUCAAGAUUUUCUUCAAGAUUUUCGUAGUACAACCUCAGUGAGGUUUCAGAGCUGCUAGACAGUGAGAAUAUCAAGUGAGAUCAUAGCUAGGUAGGUGUCGGACCAACUGGUAAGUCUACAGUAGCAUUGUGAUAGCUUUUUGCUUAGGCUAGCAGUAGUGGACAUCAUGAGCCACCAUUGAACUUGUAAACCUGUGUGUAGGUGAAGAAAACGUUUCCCGGGAAAAGGGCGUCUGCUGAUACAACCUCGCAGAGAUCGAACCAUGUUACCGAGAAAAUCAACCUUUGGAAAUAGAAGCUAUUGACUGGAUGUCUGGAGGGAGAUUCUACUGUCUCAUCACCAUAUGACUCUCAUCAGCUUGCAAAUGAGUAGGCCGGGGCAAGCCACUUCAACCACAUAAUCUGACAAAUGACUCUGUGAAUUCCUGGCUUCAAAGUAAGUGUGGUUUCCCAAUUGUGGUGAUGUUGAUCUGUGUGUCCUCGAAAGUUGUUUGGGCUUCUGAGAGUUGGCUGGCUUUUACUAUCAGAUGAGUUUUAGAGGCGUUGACCAUGUAUCCAUAGGCAGGGCCAAUGUUGGUCAGCUCCUCCCACCAUCAGCAGGGAUGUCACUAGUGGCAGCAGCGUCAUCAGCGUACCAUGCCUGGGUGACUUCUACGGACUGGUUAACUCUGUCCAUUAGGGGUUUCAGGGCGAUGGCAUACAUGCCUGGGUGGUGCCUUCCUGGGUGGAUCCAUCGACGAACAGUUCCGUGUCCUGGCGGUAAGUAUUAAUGAGAAUGGUUGAAAUGGAUGGACAGAGGACCCUGACAUUUCUAAGUGCCGUCUGGCGGUUUAGAGAGUUGAAUGCAUUGCUAGCUCUUUAGAAUUAAAUGCGAGGUUCAUAGCAUGGACUGCAGCCUCAUUACCAGCAGUUGGGUAGAGCCAGCAGCGUCUUGGAUAUCAUCACUUGUAACUGCCUUGGCAACGAUUCUGCGAACUGUCUCGCAAAUUCCGAUAGGUCGCACACCUGGGUUCUUAAACGACAGGGACUGAGUCCUUUAGGGUUGACGAAGGUCAUGUAGAUUAGAAGGGCUAAUGAAUGGCAAAUAUCAUCGGAGGCAGACUUAAAGGAGGUACAUAUCCUCCUCCAUCCAUGUGCGUCAGUUUGGCGCAUUGGCAGUUCCUGCAUUUACCGGUUCGAUUGCAUUUUGGUUGAGUUUGAGUGCGUCAAACGAACCUUUGGUCAGUUACCAUCAAUGAAGCUUUGGGGGGUCUGAUUGUUCAAUUGUAUAGCUUCUACUCUUUGGAGUAGGCCAAAAGAUAAAGUAAGUUGGGGCUACUAUUCUUUUGAAUAGGCCAACAGAAAAAAUAAAAAACAAAACAAAAAAAUAAUAAUAAAUAAUAAAUAAUUAUAAAAAAUAAGAAGAUAACCUCUCCUACUCUCCUACUCAGUCUCGGUCUCUCAGCAGCUUUCAGUCUCUCAGGUUCUCAGUAGUCUCUUUCAGGUCUCUUUCAGCAAUCUCUUAGUCUCUCAGGUUUCUCAGCGGUCUCUCAGCUCAGCAGCAAUCUCUCAGUCUCUCAGUCUCUCAGUCUCUCAGCAGUCUUUCUCAGCAGUAGGAUUCUACUGAGAAUAUACGAUGUUAUCCAAAGCCCCUAGAUACCGGGGCGCAUGCGCACCACUUCCCUAGUCUCAUGAAUCA
This is a long non-coding RNA of Halichondria panicea, 6469 nucleotides long. RefSeq lists it as uncharacterized. Lineage: Eukaryota; Metazoa; Porifera; Demospongiae; Suberitida; Halichondriidae. The transcript is spliced from 6 exons. The record is from RefSeq and is a predicted model, not a curated record.